GACGAACGCUGGCGGCGUGCUUAACACAUGCAAGUCGAACGGAAAGGCCCUGCUUGUGUGGGGUGCUCGAGUGGCGAACGGGUGAGUAACACGUGAGUAACCUGCCCUAGACUUUGGGAUAACUUCAGGAAACUGGGGCUAAUACCGGAUAGGAGCUCCUGCGGCAUGGGGGGGGUUGGAAAGUUUCGGCGGUUGGGGAUGGACGCGCGGCUUACCAGCUUGUUGGGGGGGUAGUGGCUUACCAAGGCUUUGACGGGUAGCCGGCCUGGGGGGGUGACCGGCCACAUUGGGCCUGAGAUACGCCCCAGACUCCUACGGGAGGCAGCAGUGGGGAAUAUUGCACAAUGGGCGGAAGCCUGUUGCGGCAACGCCGCGUGCGGGAUGACGGCCUUCGGUUUGUAAACCGCUUUCGCCUGUGCCGAAGCGUGAGUGACGGUAAUGGGUAAAGAAGCACCGGCUAACUACGUG
Molecule: ribosomal RNA, 468 nt
Filed under: uncultured bacterium
Lineage: Bacteria
Description: partial 16S ribosomal RNA
Rfam family: Bacterial small subunit ribosomal RNA
Source: RNAcentral